This 958-nucleotide long non-coding RNA is filed under the name Fukomys damarensis (Damara mole-rat). RNAcentral describes it as "lncRNA (ENSFDAG00000031312.1)". Lineage: Eukaryota; Metazoa; Chordata; Mammalia; Rodentia; Bathyergidae. The record is from RNAcentral.
CUUAUAGCAUCAAACUCCCAGAGGCUGCUGCUACCCAGAGCACCAGAAAAACAACACGGUGCUAUGCUCUUAACAACAGGUUUUGCCUGAAGAUGGAACCAACUUGCACUACCAUCUAAUGACUGCCUCAAGCAGAACAAAGAUGGCCAAGCUGAGUAAAGAAACCGGGAUCCCAAAAGCCCAGGAAGCAGGGUCAGUCAGGACCAUCUGCAGUUGGCUACGUCGGCCUUUUCCAUGGACUCCACACUCAUCCAUCACCAGGAAUCCAAGUUGAUGCUCCUCCUACAUCUGGCCAGGAUGCUACCAAAAGCUACAUCAAAGCAAAAAGUCACUGAGCUAACACAGAGAAAGGUCUAUUCAAAGUUCUGGUUUUAGGUUUCAGAAACAAUUUUCCUGAUUAUUUAAAAUAAUGAAUGGGUUCCAAGGACUACGGAAAGAGAGCUUUUCUAGGUUAGUCCCAGAAUCUACCAUACUGUUUCUAAGGAAAAGUAUGCUCCUGGCUCCAAUUAGCAAUUUAAAUCAUUUUACGUGAAUGAAUGCAUAUAACUUCUUUACAGUUUAGUGUCCUCAUGAGCAAAAUAAGGGAACAAUAAUCCCUAUUCAAUAUUCAUGGCUAUGUUCAUUAAGAAAAAAAUUUUUGAAACCCAGCUUCUUGGUGUCUGCCCUGUAAAACAUAGCACUUUGUAUCACCGACAACCCUUAGCUUUAUAGAAUUUUACUACCUACAAUGCAGGGGACUGGGAAUGUGUGUGGUCAGGUUGGCAUUUGUCAUCUCUUACAUACAGUCUCUUGUAUAUGUGAGAAAAAGGAAUUUUCAUAAAAAUAUUAAUAAUGCAGUUUCACCUUUCAGAAAGACAAGUACACUGGAUAAACAGUCUAGAAGAUAGUUAAAUAAUAACCAGAUUAUAGGAAUCAGUGAAAACCUUUAACUGCAAUCUAUUCUUCAAUAAAACACCAG